UACGGGAGGCAGCAGUAGGGAAUCUUCCGCAAUGGACGAAAGUCUGACGGAGCAACGCCGCGUGAGUGAUGAAGGCUUUCGGGUCGUAAAACUCUGUUGUUAGGGAAGAACAAGUGCUAGUUGAAUAAGCUGGCACCUUGACGGUACCUAACCAGAAAGCCACGGCUAACUACGUGCCAGCAGCCGCGGUAAUACGUAGGUGGCAAGCGUUAUCCGGAAUUAUUGGGCGUAAAGCGCGCGCAGGUGGUUUCUUAAGUCUGAUGUGAAAGCCCACGGCUCAACCGUGGAGGGUCAUUGGAAACUGGGAGACUUGAGUGCAGAAGAGGAAAGUGGAAUUCCAUGUGUAGCGGUGAAAUGCGUAGAGAUAUGGAGGAACACCAGUGGCGAAGGCGACUUUCUGGUCUGUAACUGACACUGAGGCGCGAAAGCGUGGGGAGCAAACAGGAUUAGAUACCCUGGUAGUCCACGCCGU
Molecule: ribosomal RNA, 472 nt
Filed under: Bacillus sp. enrichment culture
Lineage: Bacteria; Bacillati; Bacillota; Bacilli; Caryophanales; Bacillaceae
Description: bacterial SSU rRNA
Rfam family: Bacterial small subunit ribosomal RNA
Source: RNAcentral